RNAcentral lists this ribosomal RNA (36 nucleotides) under Arthrospira sp. PCC 9901. Its description in RNAcentral is "partial 23S ribosomal RNA". The record is from RNAcentral. Lineage: Bacteria; Bacillati; Cyanobacteriota; Cyanophyceae; Oscillatoriales; Sirenicapillariaceae.
AAUGGUGUAGGAAAACGUCGUAAAGACAAUUCCAAU